RNAcentral lists this long non-coding RNA (454 nucleotides) under Ananas comosus (pineapple). RNAcentral's name for it is "long non-coding RNA (ACOM_LNC041708)". Lineage: Eukaryota; Viridiplantae; Streptophyta; Magnoliopsida; Poales; Bromeliaceae. The record is from RNAcentral.
CACGAGAUCGUAUUACGUACAAUGAGAAAGCCUUGAAGAAAAAAAAAUAUUUAUUUAUUUUUGUAAAUAAUAUCACGUUAUACAUAUUAUAAUGAGUCGAUAUAUUUUUAUAUGAUUUUAUCAAAAAAAUUCUGAGAAACUGUAGAAAAUAUCUCGUAACUGAUUUAUUGCAAUAUAAAGGAUAUUACAGAUUUUAAAACAUGAUAUUUUUUCACUCACCGUAUGUAACAAACUAUUAUUAUUUUUCUAUUGUACUUAACUAACCAUAGUUAUCUAAAUAAUCCAAACAAACCGACCGUUUCUAGAGUGAGUGGCAAAGGGAAUGGUGGUUGGUACACGAGGUCCCAAGUUCGAAUCCUAGUUGAUUCGCAUUUCCAGCUAAAUUUAUUUCUAAAUGAAAGAAACGAAACGGAUAGACAAAAAAAAAAAUAAUCCAAACAAACUUACAAAACAU